Molecule: long non-coding RNA, 681 nt
Filed under: Apteryx rowi (Okarito brown kiwi)
Lineage: Eukaryota; Metazoa; Chordata; Aves; Apterygiformes; Apterygidae
Description: lncRNA (ENSARWG00000008144.1)
Source: RNAcentral
CAGGAAAAUGCUCUGAACCUAAAGCAAUUUUUCCUGGCCGAGACGGUUGCUUUCUGGAAGUGUUGAUAAUGAUGUGUGGCUCUGACGAGUGACAGCUUUUGAAGCACGUGGGUCUCCCCAGGAAGGCAGUGCAACUGCCUUGCAAGGGCUGGCCGCAGCAGGGCUUGUAGAAGUGACGUGGCCAAAGUCAUGGGGGAGCUGCUGGCAGGGCCGGGAGCAGGGUCAACGCUCCAGACUCGCCUCUCCCCUCUUCUCCCAAGGACCUAAAGCUGCCUCAGGGCUCUGCAGGCUGGGAAAAGGGGAAGAACAGCAUCUAAUAAAGUCUGUUCCUGGGCAUGAAAAUAUUUUAACAGGCCUGCUGCUGCAUCUAAAGAAUAAAGUUAAAAGCUGCUAACAGGGCUUUUCUCCAAGGGGAGUUGCAUUGCUGGCAUUUGGGAGCUACCCAAGAUAAACUAUCAGCCAGAAACACACUUCUCCGAGGCCCUCCUGAACCUCCGCGUGCGGCAGCCCGACUGCUGGGGCAGCUAUGGGAAAAUGGGAGUCUCCAAAGUGGCUGUUCUCUCCGUGGCCAGUGAAGGAGAGCCCUUCUCGAGCAAAGGAAUUUCUCCUGCAAGGCAGGUGCCCCUGGAAAUAGCGGGUGGCCAGGCUGCACGGGUUCAGCAUGGGUGAAAAUUUAUUAGG